This 857-nucleotide ribosomal RNA is filed under the name Limosilactobacillus fermentum. Its description in RNAcentral is "bacterial SSU rRNA". It matches the Rfam family "Bacterial small subunit ribosomal RNA", at positions 38 to 879 of the family's 1533-position model. Lineage: Bacteria; Bacillati; Bacillota; Bacilli; Lactobacillales; Lactobacillaceae. The record is from RNAcentral.
CGCGUUGGCCCAAUUGAUUGAUGGUGCUUGCACCUGAUUGAUUUUGGUCGCCAACGAGUGGCGGACGGGUGAGUAACACGUAGGUAACCUGCCCAGAAGCGGGGGACAACAUUUGGAAACAGAUGCUAAUACCGCAUAACAACGUUGUUCGCAUGAACAACGCUUAAAAGAUGGCUUCUCGCUAUCACUUCUGGAUGGACCUGCGGUGCAUUAGCUUGUUGGUGGGGUAACGGCCUACCAAGGCGAUGAUGCAUAGCCGAGUUGAGAGACUGAUCGGCCACAAUGGGACUGAGACACGGCCCAUACUCCUACGGGAGGCAGCAGUAGGGAAUCUUCCACAAUGGGCGCAAGCCUGAUGGAGCAACACCGCGUGAGUGAAGAAGGGUUUCGGCUCGUAAAGCUCUGUUGUUAAAGAAGAACACGUAUGAGAGUAACUGUUCAUACGUUGACGGUAUUUAACCAGAAAGUCACGGCUAACUACGUGCCAGCAGCCGCGGUAAUACGUAGGUGGCAAGCGUUAUCCGGAUUUAUUGGGCGUAAAGAGAGUGCAGGCGGUUUUCUAAGUCUGAUGUGAAAGCCUUCGGCUUAACCGGAGAAGUGCAUCGGAAACUGGAUAACUUGAGUGCAGAAGAGGGUAGUGGAACUCCAUGUGUAGCGGUGGAAUGCGUAGAUAUAUGGAAGAACACCAGUGGCGAAGGCGGCUACCUGGUCUGCAACUGACGCUGAGACUCGAAAGCAUGGGUAGCGAACAGGAUUAGAUACCCUGGUAGUCCAUGCCGUAAACGAUGAGUGCUAGGUGUUGGAGGGUUUCCGCCCUUCAGUGCCGGAGCUAACGCAUUAAGCACUCCGCCUGGGGA